This 253-nucleotide ribosomal RNA is filed under the name uncultured bacterium. Its description in RNAcentral is "partial 16S ribosomal RNA". It matches the Rfam family "Bacterial small subunit ribosomal RNA", at positions 524 to 776 of the family's 1533-position model. The record is from RNAcentral.
UACGUAGGGGGCAAGCGUUGUCCGGAAUCAUUGGGCGUAAAGCGCGUGUAGGCGGCUCGGUAAGUCCGCUCUGAAAGCCCGGGGCUCAACCCCGGGAGGCGGGUGGAUACUGCUGAGCUCGAGUCCGGAAGAGGAGUGUGGAAUUCCUGGUGUAGCGGUGAAAUGCGCAGAUAUCAGGAGGAACACCAAUGGCGAAGGCAGCACUCUGGGACGGUACUGACGCUGAGACGCGAAAGCGUGGGGAGCAAACGGG